GCUCGUCCAUUCGUUGCUGCAAAUCUAUAUCAAACUUUUCAUUUUCACAUUGUGCUGAGUUUCCCAUUCACUUAAAUUCACUUAUGGAUAUUUCUUUAAAGAUUUUUGGCUUCUUUAUGCUAAGAGUCGAAGGCAAUAGCAAAAACUGUGAGUUGUAUUUGACUUUUGUCAGUUGAUUCAGUUUUAUACUGUUUGAAAUUUGUUCCUCGACCUUGCACUUUUGUUCAAAACAAUUUUAAGAACAUUUUGUCCCAAGUUUUGAUUGGCUGAUCAAAGCGAUUAACGCGAGCGAACAUUUUUUUUCGACUUUCGGCGUCUUGUUGUCUAUUUUGUAUACUUGUUGGCUUUCCAAAGUCAUUGUUUGUUUUACAAUAGCUAAAAUUGGGAGUCUUACUGCUUGUUUUCAAACUAUGUAAUAGAAGAAAAGAAGGAGAAAAAGCCAGAGUAUAUAAUAUACUUAACAUCUAAACAUGACACUGGUGUGCGUAAAUAUAGCAAAGCCACGGAAUUACAAGUGAGCAAGUGACCUCAGUGUACCUCAAGACCAAGCCAGUUAAAAGUGAGUUUUUCAUGUUUAUUGGAUUUAAAAAGAUAACUCCUCUACAUGAUUGUGCAUUUUUAUAACUAUCCCAUGCUUUUUCAUCCGAAAUAAUCAUUGUUUUAUCUUCAAACUCCGAGUUUAUCCGCCGUAUAGCGAUUUAAACGGUCUCAAGAGACCGUAUAAGUUUACAUGGUGGAUAGGCAAAAUUUAACCGGUGGAUAGCCCUAAACGGGCUUGAUACAACGCGAUUUCUCGAGCGUUUAAAUUUUAUCCGGCGGAUAGCGAGUUAAACGGUGGUUAGCGAGUUAAACGCCUUUGAUACAACCGGCCCCUGGUUUUAAAA
This is a non-coding RNA of Paramuricea clavata, 884 nucleotides long. Lineage: Eukaryota; Metazoa; Cnidaria; Anthozoa; Malacalcyonacea; Plexauridae. The record is from the annotation of a GenBank genome assembly.